Molecule: transfer RNA, 72 nt
Filed under: Elusimicrobia bacterium RIFOXYA2_FULL_39_19
Lineage: Bacteria; Pseudomonadati; Elusimicrobiota
Description: tRNA-Thr
Rfam family: tRNA
About the family: Transfer RNA (tRNA) molecules are approximately 80 nucleotides in length. Their secondary structure includes four short double-helical elements and three loops (D, anti-codon, and T loops).
Source: RNAcentral
GCCGGGGUAGCUCAGUGGCAGAGCAACGGUUUCGUAAACCGUAGGCCGUGGGUUCAACUCCCAUCCCCGGCU